Molecule: long non-coding RNA, 8701 nt
Filed under: Homo sapiens (human)
Lineage: Eukaryota; Metazoa; Chordata; Mammalia; Primates; Hominidae
Description: HSALNT0308427
Source: RNAcentral
CACCACCACCACACAAAAAAAUUAAACUAUAUAUAUAUCCCAUAGCUGAUAGUCUGUACUGUCUGCUGUUAAACCAAAAGAAAAAGGAGUCAUCCAUUGCUUUUUUUCUAUCCUUUCUUUACCUGGAGAAAAUCAGGGCAGUUAUUGAAGUAUCAGAGAACUCAUUAGAACAUCUGCUUCAGUUGUGUGUUGGUAACCUUUUCAAUACUUACAAAUUUAUAAAUUCACAUUCUUGUUUGGCUUGCAUUCACACCCAGAAACACACACAAACAUAGAUAUUGAACAUACUUCAAGUACAUAUACAUAUCAGUAAUUCACACUUUAGUCCUAUACAUACGUUCACACCUUCUCAUAAAAUAUCACACAUCAUUUGCACAAACAUAUAUCCACAAAGAUAAAUACUAGAAUUUCUGUUUUUAUUUUUCUUGGAGAGAACAGAAUUCUUGAAACAUAUCAGUAAAAAUUGUAAAGAAAACACACUUAAUCAUUCUACUUCUCCUCUUGAUAACUGAUCUUUCCUUUCUAGGGUUGGGGACACAUCAUUUCCUAAAUACAAACAUGUCCCAAUAGAAAUUAGCUAAAAUUUCUUCUGAAGAGCUAUACCAUCCAUUACUUUGUAGGUCUUUAUUGUGUUCCACAAUGAACUUUAUACAUGGUUGCUGUUCUGUUUCAGAGGAGUCAAGCUAAGCCAAAGGAGAGUUGAACUCAAGGGCAAAACCCUUAAGGCCAAUCUCCAUGUACAGAGGGGAAAUUGACCCUGUUUGAGCUACUGAGCCCGCUGGGUGAGUUGACAAAAGACUUCAUUCUGCAACUAUUUUGUGAAUACCUUUCACCUGGGGCAAAUUCAUCACCCGAAGAGAGAUAGCAAAAUCCAGGCUUGGACUGUUAGAGCAUUUUCUCCUAUACCUGGGAGGGAAGGCUGAGGGAUGAGCCAGGUCAGGUCUGAGAAAGGCCCAAGGCUGAAAGGAAUAAAGUGACAGCUCCAGAUGUAAUUGGAAAUAAAGAGAACACUAAGUUCUGAAGUCACCAAGUUCUGAUUUUCCUCUUAUAAGUACUACUUAGGUGUUUUUAUUUGAAAUGUAAAAUAUCAGAUUGUUUUAAACUCUUUCUGUCUUGCUCUUUUUCUCCUUCUUAAGUAUUGUUGUUUUGCUGGUAGUCUAAGUACCAUCUGCCUCUGCCUAGGGGUAACAUAGCCCUGAAAAGGCAAAGGGAUGUUGUACCCCUUCACUUAGGAACUCACCUUCCUACAGAACCCAAUCACUUUCCUUGCGAAUAUUUAAUUUUUAAGAAGUAUUAAGAAUGGGAAAAGAAGAUCUUUUAAAAAUCUGGUCUGCCUUCUAGAAAAAUGUAGUUGGCAUUGUUUUAAAGGAACACUGGAUAACCUGAACUUGACAAUAAUAUUUGCUAAAUACUGAAGCCUGACUGUAGCAGAUAAUCUGAUUACUAUAGCUUACUUCACGACAGCUUGGUAAAAGACCAAUCAGAUCCCUCGCUUUAGUUGAACUGAAGGAAAAAGUCCUUGGCGAAACCAGGGAAACUUGGCCAUUGGCUGAAUGUGGGAUUAGAGGGCCCAGUUGUUGUAAAAGGUGAGUCUGGGGUGAUGGGACUGGGUUACCAGGAAAGGGAGGGAUCGACAUUAGCAGAAAGAUGGGAGAUGGCACCCAACUCUUAACUCACUCAAUUUGACCUUUCUGGGGCUCAGCUUCACAAACUGUAAUUCAAAGAAUGGACUGAAUUAGGUGUGUAGCUUUCAAAUUUAUUUGCUUUUUUUGAAGUACUUUUUUUUUUUCUUGAACAAAACUCUACCUAGACCUCCCAUGUACAAAGAACAUAAAAGGGAGCUCUUCUUGGAUGCUGGGAGGGAGGUAGCCAGAAGCAUUGUAGUGUCCAGGCCUCCUAGUUCCUGCCCUCAGCUCAGAAGGGCUUCUCUGCAAGUCCACUGGGGCUUCCUGGAACAUGGUUUGAAACCCUCUAAAUGGGGCAUCUCCAUUCCCUGUUACUUUAAAAUGCUAUGGAAAAGAGAAAGAGCAGAUGACUAGGAGACAUCUAUUUCCUAUGUAUACCUGAGGGCACUUAGUGGAGAAAAGCAAUCGGUCUCAUUUCCUCUGAAAAUAAUAUACUUUAUCUACUUUAUAAUUUAUUUCUUAUCUACAGCAUAAUCCCACUUUGUCCCUAUUUCCACAGCAUUGUUUUCAUUUAAUUAUUGGUAGCAAGGCAAAGAAGAAACUCUUUCUUCUACUUAAAAAGAAAGGAGGUUGUCACCUUGCCACUUACUCCACCAGGAAGUUUAUUAGAAAUAGCAUUGGAGCAGGAUUUAAAAGCCUAGUAAUCAAGUCUAGUCUCACCACUAGCAAGCUGUGUGACCUUGGGUAAGCUAGUAGACAACUCUGAGCCUUUGUUUUCUCAUCUAUAGAAUGAGAGGGGUGAUUCUAAAGGUCAGUUCCAGUGCUAAAAUCCAAAGCCCAUGUAGUGAGGUGGGGAAUAGAUCUUAUAACCCACAGAUUGAGCCAAGAAUUCAAAAGAUUCUCUACCCUCCUAGACAAUAAGACAUUUACUCAAGGUGCUACCCCUGUUCUAUCUGCUUGGUAAGCCUGAAACCAAACUCCAGGAUUCUUCAGAAAACAUGUCUGUCUUGCAUUACGGAGAGUUCAAAUGUCUCCUUUAAUCACAUCAGGUCUACUAACACGAGUUUCUUUUUGUAACUGAGUCUGUGGCUGCAUAUUUAUAAAUAUUAUGGAUACACAGUUCUGUGUGUGAGCAUGUCAACAACAGUGAUGCAUGAAAAGAAAAACCAAAAGGAGUUUCUUCAAAUCCCUCACCCAGAUCAUCUAAGUCGUUGGCUCAGGGUUUUAACCAAAUUUUGCUCACCAACCCGGGAUAAGCUGCGUUUUAAGAAUUAUUUCUGUGAGCUGAGGCUGGAUUUUGUUUUAUUCAAAGCAACUUCAGCCUGUCACAAGACAGUCUCAUAAAAUCUGUAUCUUGGCUUAAGCUGGGAAGAAAUGAGCCAAUCCAUCAGCCCAGGAAUGUGGCUGUUUGACCACUUCCUAAGGCAACUGGGAAGGGAUGCAAUCUACUCAAUUUAUGGAGACUGGUGGCAGUGAAUGAUGCACUCCUGAAGGCACAGCAAAUGGAAAUCCUUCUGAACUUUUGAAAUGAUAAAGUUCAAAAUCUGAAUAAAAGGGCCAUCUAGGAGGGAAGGAGAGAGGGAAGCAGAGAGCAGGAGAGGAAGCCAGCAUAUGAGUUUGGAAAUGAAUAAAGAAUGAAGCAAAUUCCCUCUCUUAAAACACCUCCAAUGAAUUCACUUAGGAGAGAACUGGAAAUUGGGUCUGGAAAUGGGGCCUUUUGAACAUCUCUCCCCUCAAUCUAGAUUCUAAAAAUGAAGCCUCAUUUAAUCGGUAAAAUGUAAGUUUGAUGCGAUUACCUCUCCUGACCUCGAAUCAUGCCACCUGUGUUAACCUUAUUAUUUGUCAUCUUAUAUCAUAAACAAAUGCAAUUCCAAUAGGGCAGCCGAUAUAAUGUCAUUAGUUUAUAUUUAUGUCCUCUCUUUUCCAGCCCUCAUUGCAAAUGCAAUUUUGAUGCCAUUGAUGAGAGAUCUGGGAUUACAAUUCCUGACCAUUUUAGGAGACAUUUGGGGAAGGAAACAGAAGAAUAAUUUUGAGGUCUCUCCAAAAACCAAAGGAGAAAAAAAAGUAAUAUAAUAUUGUCUUCAUUUAUUUUGAUUAACUGAAGCUUAUGUUGAAACAUUAAUGGCUCCCCAUUGGUUAGCAAGUGAAACCCAAACCUCUUUGCCUAGCAAUUUGGGCCUUGAAUUGAGCCCAAGCUAUUAUUUAUAAUCUUGUUUGCAAUUAUUUCCCACCAUACAUUCUAAACUGCAGCUUCUGAGUGUUCCCCAAACCAACCCAGCAUCCAUUUCUCUACUCACACCUUCCCCUUCCCCUGGUAUGCCCUUCCCUGCUCUAAAUCCCACCUACUCUCUCACUCCAGGCUGCCUCUGCCCUUUCUCCUCUCCCAUACUGGGAGUGGUCUUUCUCCUCUGUGCAUCUGAGAGGCUGAAGCUCUUUAGCAUCUUCUGAGAUGUGUGAGAGUUCUGGAGGGCCUCAUCCAGUCUACUGAGCCACCAGCAACUUGAGGUCAUGACUCCUUGCUGAUCCAUCUUUGGCAAGUCUUACAGGAUCAAACCAGAACCUUUCCCAAAAGUCAGACUCAUCAAGAUUUGGUGAAUUAACCAAUUAAGAAGUGACCAAAGGAACAUCAAAGGUAUCACUAGAUAGGACAGACUCUGAGAGUUCUAUCAGAAAUUAUUCUGCGGCCACAGCUACUGCGCUUCCCUCCCCACCCCCAGCUGUUAUUAAGUGCAAAUGUUUCUUAGUGGUGAAUUGAGAGUUUGAAUAACUUGUCUGGGAUAAUAAUACCUAGUCACAAGUAGGUCAAGGUAGAGUUAGUGCGAACUAUGUCUCCUAGAACACCCUAAAGCAGAUAAUAAUGAUAAAUUUCAAAGCACAUUCACAUUUUAUUUUAUUUUAUUUUAUUUUUUGAGACAGAGUCUCACUCUGUCACCCAGGCUAGAGUGCAGUGGCACAAUCUCGGCCCACUGCAACCUCCGCCUCCCAAGUUUAAGCGAUUUUCCUGCCUUAGCCUCCCAAGUAGCUGGGAUUAUAGGCGCCCACCACCAUACCCAGCUAUUGUGUGUGUGUGUGUGUGUGUGUGUGUGUGUGUGUGUGUGUGUGUGUGUGUAUUUUUAGCAGGGAUGGGGUCUUGCUAUGUUGGCCAGGCUGGUCUCGAACUCCUGACCUCAGGUGAUCUGCCCACCUCCUCCUCCCAAAGUGCUGGGAUUACAGGCAUGAGCCACCAUGCUCGGCCAUUUUAUUUUUAAUACUAGUAAAAUUAAUUUAUCUCAGGGGUUUUGUCCCCUUCACUCCAACCCCCACACUUCCAAAGGCAACUUUAAAUAUUGGUUAUCUGUACCACCAGGAAGAUGCUGACUAUUACUUCAUCACUAAGCCAUUUGUUGGUAUUGGAUUUUCUUGUGCUUGGUUUCAGCAAACCUCUCUUUACUCAACCCCCUCCUCAUUUUCCUUUCUGUAGCCCCUAGAAUGCCUUUGGGGAACAUCUGUUUUAUUUUUUCUCCUGUAUCCAAACAAUUAUUAUUAGCAUUCGGUCUAGUAAUUUGCAAUUCCCAUUAUCUUCUCUGCUGAAAGACUCGCCAGAACUGGUUACUGGUUAUCGCAGGAUUUGUGGAGGCGGGAGCAGGGUACCACGGCCACGUGCACUCAGCUGGCCGGCAGCCUCGUGCACUCUGUGCUACCGAGAGCUUCUCUUUUGUUAUUCCCAGCCCCUCCUUUUUUUCUGGAUUAGAUAAUGACUCCUUUAUGAAGACCCAGAGGGAAAUGGGAUUAUUAAGACCCUUGCUGGGUAAAAGCUAUUUUGUCUUUAUGAUGACUUUUUUGAGUUCAGCUGCUGAAGGGCCUUAGUGCCAGAGUAGAAGUUAUUACACAUUCGGGAGAGCGCCUUAAACACGGUGUUCCCUGCUGAGCACACUCUCAGUGUUGAAGGAUGGAAGGGGAGGAAAAGGAAAGGAAAUGAGAGAUUAAAAAGAAAAUAGGAGGUAAGAAUACUGAAAACAGAGGAAGAAGGAGGGAAAAAAUGCAAGGGAGACAUAAAUCUAAGAUAAGAACUCAGCAGAGAAUAUUCUCUGAAGAAGAGCAUGGCGAGAGAUAAUAUGGUGCUUACAAAACACAGAGGUUUGGUGGUGGAAGAACUGAGAAUAAGAAUUAUUUUUUAAAUCUCAUAAAAAUCAACUUACCACAAUGGUUAUAGUGUGCUUUCUACGAUCACGAGAUUCCACUAACCCCACUGAAACAGUUUUAAAGAUUCAGUGACUUCAGAAUGGGCUUCAUAUGUGCCAAACAGUAUUCUACAUAAUCUGACAUAGCCCAACAACCCUAUGAAGUAGGUAUUGUUACCAAACACAUUUACAGACAAGGAAACCGAGGCACAUAGACUAAGUAUCUGAUCACACAGGAUACUGGGAUCACAGAGCCAGCAAGUGGCUGAGCUAGAUUCUAAACCCAGGCAGUCUAGUUCCCAUGUUUCAGAAGCUGGGAAGGCCAGGGAUGAUCCCCACAAAACUUCUCAGUGGCAAACCUACUUGGUAGCAUUUAGGGAAAGACAAAUAUUUUGCCUGUUUGAAAACCCCCUUUUCUCUGCCUGUGCCAGUACUCUGUCUGUGUGAACAAUGAGAGAUGUGUUUGAGGCUGGGGUGUGAGUGGGCUGGAAGCACUUAACACCUUCUCCACUCCCUGUACACACAGGCACUCAGCUCCUUGUCAUCCUGGCCCUCUUUCCUGUGUUCUGGAAACCCUAGGCAUGGGGCCGGGGAGGGCGGGUGAUGGAUAGGAAGUUCAGGUCUGAAACCAUGUAUCACAACAUCGAAGGGUUUUUUUGUUUUUUUUGUUUUGUUUUGUUUUUUUGUUUUUUGCCAACUCCUAUUUCUCUCCUUUCUUCUCAAUCCUACUCUUCUCUAUCCUAAAUGCCACAUUGUUAUUGUUCUACUGGAUAGGAGUAGCAUUUUCAGAAAUGGGGGAUUUAUUUUUAUAGCACAGCUGGUCUGCCAAAGGUCACAUAAUUUGGCAAUGUUCCCAGUGGUUAAAAAUUAAUUUCUCCUUAUUAAUACAACCAAGGUCCCAGAGGAUCGGAGCUCAGCCUUAUCUAAACUUGACAGCUUCCUAAACCUUUAGAAGAUGCUUUCUCCUGGAGGGCCAGCCAUGAUACAAGGCCACUGUGUCCUGGAAUCCUACUCCACUGAAUCCUGUUAGGCAAUGAAACCAUUAAGCCUCUGACCAUUUCUCAUCAAGGCAGAUAAAGCUUUGAAAAAUACUGUAGCUCUCCAGGACAAACUUCUGCAGCAUCUUCCAGAAAUGGGUUAAUUAAAAAACAAAAAUCAGCAAACAGCCAAGUCCUUACCUGGAAGGAACAGUACAAAGACUAACUUCUGGUGAUCAAUAUACUUAUCUGCCACUCAAGGAAGGUAUCUCAAAGAUUAUCCAGUUGCAAGUGAUGGUCAGAUAAUAAAAUACCUCAAAUAUGUUAAUAACACUACAAGCCAUUGCCCAGAUGACACUUUUCAAGUCCUUUCUUGUCAGUUCAAGAAAUUAAAAAGAUAUUCUUCUUUUGCUCUAUCUUUUAAGAAAGGAAGAUCUCAGCUCAAGUUCCUAAAGUCUUUCCAAACUGGACCUUUGGAGAAUAUAUUUGGAAACCUCUUUACCUGGCUCUUGAAUUCUGUCAACUCAGAAUUGUCUUACACUCAGGUCAUCCUGAGUCAGUUCAUUUUCCUGAUUGCUUUAGGGAAGACUUGAGUGAAAUGAAAAACACCAGGGUCCCCAGAAUCAUCUGGUCCCUGGUGUCUCUCCUCACUGACCCCAGACCCCUCCCUCACUGUCAUUUGUAUUCGUGCCUCACUGCAUAUGAAUUGGCAUUUGGAUUCCUAGCUUUUUCUAUGCCUGGAAGAUAGGAACUGGCCUUUCUGCUGCAGAACGUGGACUUGAUACAUUCAACAGCAGGGGAUCAGAGCCAUUUGGUAGACAGCAGGAGUCCUGUCUGGGUAGCCUGGGUUCCAGUCACUGCAGCCUUCCAAUCUUUCAUUUUGCCAGUUGAGUGCUCCGUAGCUUAAUGUCUGAGGGCUCUAUGGGAUGACAUAAAACUCCAAACCUGAUGUGCACUGGCGCAUUCACAAUUCCACCAGGCACCGCUUGGACGAGUAGGGGCCUGCCCGGGGCCCUUUGGGGAGUGCUCCUCUUGCCACUGUCUUGCACUGUGUGCUCUGCUGGCAACUGGCCACAGCUUCCCUACCUCCAGGAGCUGAUCACGGGGGAAAAAUGUUUACUGGGUACCCAUUUAAUGUGGGCAUGAGACCAAUCCCUAGAGCCCAGAGCAGGCCGUCUGCGUAAAAUCUAGGAGUUUACAGUUUACUUGCAAAUUAUUAUGCUCGCCAAUGGCCAUCUCACAUUUUGGGGAGACAGGCUAAAAGAAACACUUCAAACCCUUAUCCGGCGCCUAGACCGUCAUUGCUUCUCUUUCAGGAUUUGUCUGAACCCAGACCUGUCUCCCACAGCCAAUUUACACCUCUUAUCUGAUCAUCCAGUCCAGACGGAAGGAAGAAAUUCAGCCGGAGCCGCAGAAGCCGCAACGCAUAUGGGCAAGAUCCCCUAAAACUUGGUCUGGAAAGCUGAUUCCCGAAGGUUCCCCAACCCAGAUGAUUCCCAGAGGGGCGACAAGUCUAUUCCAAAUCCCUCCCCCACCUCCAAACACUAGGGCUACCGGCGCCCGCCACCCAGCCGCUGGACGCCUGCGACCCGGUGGGAAAGACCCCCGGCACAGCCAGCCCGAGUCGAAGGGCGGGGGCAGCCCUUCAAUCAGAGCGCGCCUUGCCUCCAUUAACUUGUGUUGAUAUUAAAAAGAAAUCAAUCAGUGAAAAUGAAGCAUCGGCCGUGAACAUUUCUUUUUCUCACGUGGAAAAGCAAAGAGCGAGGCGGCUGGGGAGGGGAGGCGGGAACUCGCCGGCGGCUGCAGGCAGAGGCUUCUCCAGAGACCAGCGCUGCAGCCGAGACCUAACUUUCCGGCAUAGGGCAGCGUUGAAGAAAUGCCGCAGGCUUUUCCCUGGGGGUGUCCUUAGGAGGAGGAGGAGGAGGAGGGCACAAGCAUG